AAAAAAAAAAAAAAAAAGAGAGAUUGAUAAUGGUGAUGUGGAGGUUCCUGGAGGGUUGGAUUUUGUGGUUAACCAGUGCAUCUUGGUACUGUCAUCAUAGGACUUCCUUUGACGAGAGGAAGAUUAGCAUUCGGAUCAGACACACGCUGCACGUACAAAAAUGGGGCAUUGGUGACGAUAAAUUCAGGGGCACAAAUGUCUUCAAAAGAGCCAGGGUUUUUGAAUCAAAAAAUUAAAGAAAGCCAGGACCAAAUACUCCUGCUGAAGUUACAAUUCCAUAGUGUUUGACACGUACUGUCUUGAUCUUCUUCACAAAUGCAGCAUCUAGAGACAAUUUCAUAACCCCUCUUUUUCAUUUCCUCAUCAUCCAUAUAGACUCCCUGCUGCAGUUUCCAAAUAUUGCUAGCAAUGCAAGAAUGGUUUCCAAAUAUGAGCUGGCCAUGGAUUUUCUUAGGUGUCAUCGAGGAUGGUGAAACAAGAUUUUUUCAUCACAGGACAUACUCAGGAUAUCCAAAUUUUUAUGAGUCUCGCGGGUAUUUGUUGGAUGGAUCUUCUUAUGGUGACACAGUGGCUUACCUAGCACGAUUUUAUGAUCCUAACAUGGAAGACGUUGAAGUACUACGAUUGCUGAAACAUUGCGUCAACCUCACUGCAGGGAGGGCAAUAAGUGACUCUAUAGAAGAUGCCCAAAAGGGAAAAUUUCAUUCCCCCUAUGUUGGAGGGUGGGUUCUUGCAUCCAUCAUCCAAGAUGGCAUGCCAUACCGCCAUUAUGAUUUGGGACAAUGUGUCCCAACUCUCUUAUAGCUUGAU
Papaver somniferum (opium poppy) is the source of this 810-nucleotide long non-coding RNA. RefSeq lists it as uncharacterized. Lineage: Eukaryota; Viridiplantae; Streptophyta; Magnoliopsida; Ranunculales; Papaveraceae. The record is from RefSeq and is a predicted model, not a curated record. The transcript is spliced from 4 exons.